This 1705-nucleotide ribosomal RNA is filed under the name Salmonella enterica. Its description in RNAcentral is "partial 23S ribosomal RNA". It matches the Rfam family "Bacterial large subunit ribosomal RNA", at positions 1200 to 2802 of the family's 2925-position model. The record is from RNAcentral. Lineage: Bacteria; Pseudomonadati; Pseudomonadota; Gammaproteobacteria; Enterobacterales; Enterobacteriaceae.
CUGCGGCAGCGAACGUAUCACCCAAGACAACUUUGCGGAGUUGACGAUUGACGGAGCGAAGCGACGUCAAAGCGUUCAUUAAAGUCGAGUUGGCUUAGGGAUACGUUCGUUGGGUAGGGGAGCGUUCUGUAAGCCUGUGAAGGUGGCCUGUGAGGGUUGCUGGAGGUAUCAGAAGUGCGAAUGCUGACAUAAGUAACGAUAAAGCGGGUGAAAAGCCCGCUCGCCGGAAGACCAAGGGUUCCUGUCCAACGUUAAUCGGGGCAGGGUGAGUCGACCCCUAAGGCGAGGCCGAAAGGCGUAGUCGAUGGGAAACGGGUUAAUAUUCCCGUACUUGGUGUUACUGCGAAGGGGGGACGGAGAAGGCUAUGUUGGCCGGGCGACGGUUGUCCCGGUUUAAGCGUGUAGGUGUGUGUUCCAGGUAAAUCCGGUUCACUUUAACACUGAGGCGUGACGACGAGGCACUACGGUGCUGAAGCAACAAAUGCCCUGCUUCCAGGAAAAGCCUCUAAGCAUCAGGUAACAUCAAAUCGUACCCCAAACCGACACAGGUGGUCAGGUAGAGAAUACCAAGGCGCUUGAGAGAACUCGGGUGAAGGAACUAGGCAAAAUGGUGCCGUAACUUCGGGAGAAGGCACGCUGAUAUGUAGGUGAAGCGGUUUACCCGUGGAGCUGAAAUCAGUCGAAGAUACCAGCUGGCUGCAACUGUUUAUUAAAAACACAGCACUGUGCAAACACGAAAGUGGACGUAUACGGUGUGACGCCUGCCCGGUGCCGGAAGGUUAAUUGAUGGGGUCAGCGCAAGCGAAGCUCCUGAUCGAAGCCCCGGUAAACGGCGGCCGUAACUAUAACGGUCCUAAGGUAGCGAAAUUCCUUGUCGGGUAAGUUCCGACCUGCACGAAUGGCGUAAUGAUGGCCAGGCUGUCUCCACCCGAGACUCAGUGAAAUUGAACUCGCUGUGAAGAUGCAGUGUACCCGCGGCAAGACGGAAAGACCCCGUGAACCUUUACUAUAGCUUGACACUGAACAUUGAGCCUUGAUGUGUAGGAUAGGUGGGAGGCUUUGAAGCGUGGACGCCAGUCUGCGUGGAGCCGACCUUGAAAUACCACCCUUUAAUGUUUGAUGUUCUAACGUGGACCCGUAAUCCGGGUUGCGGACAGUGUCUGGUGGGUAGUUUGACUGGGGCGGUCUCCUCCUAAAGAGUAACGGAGGAGCACGAAGGUUGGCUAAUCCUGGUCGGACAUCAGGAGGUUAGUGCAAUGGCAUAAGCCAGCUUGACUGCGAGCGUGACGGCGCGAGCAGGUGCGAAAGCAGGUCAUAGUGAUCCGGUGGUUCUGAAUGGAAGGGCCAUCGCUCAACGGAUAAAAGGUACUCCGGGGAUAACAGGCUGAUACCGCCCAAGAGUUCAUAUCGACGGCGGUGUUUGGCACCUCGAUGUCGGCUCAUCACAUCCUGGGGCUGAAGUAGGUCCCAAGGGUAUGGCUGUUCGCCAUUUAAAGUGGUACGCGAGCUGGGUUUAGAACGUCGUGAGACAGUUCGGUCCCUAUCUGCCGUGGGCGCUGGAGAACUGAGGGGGGCUGCUCCUAGUACGAGAGGACCGGAGUGGACGCAUCACUGGUGUUCGGGUUGUCAUGCCAAUGGCACUGCCCGGUAGCUAAAUGCGGAAGAGAUAAGUGCUGAAAGCAUCUAAGCACGAAACUUGCCCCGA